UGGCUCAGAGUGAACGCUGGCGGCAGGCCUAACACAUGCAAGUCGAGCGGCAGCGGGUCCUUCGGGAUGCCGGCGAGCGGCGGACGGGUGAGGAAUACAUCGGAAUCUGCCCUGUCGUGGGGGAUAACCUAGGGAAACUUAGGCUAAUACCGCAUACGACCUACGGGUGAAAGCGGGGGAUCGCAAGACCUCGCGCGAUAGGAUGAGCCGAUGUCCGAUUAGCUAGUUGGCGGGGUAAAGGCCCACCAAGGCGACGAUCGGUAGCUGGUCUGAGAGGAUGAUCAGCCACACUGGGACUGAGACACGGCCCAGACUCCUACGGGAGGCAGCAGUGGGGAAUAUUGGACAAUGGGCGCAAGCCUGAUCCAGCCAUGCCGCGUGGGUGAAGAAGGCCUUCGGGUUGUAAAGCCCUUUUGUCCGGGAAGAAUCGUCUGGGCUAAUACCCCGGGCGGAUGACGGUACCGGAAGAAUAAGCACCGGCUAACUUCGUGCCAGCCGCCGCCGUAA
RNAcentral lists this ribosomal RNA (507 nucleotides) under uncultured Lysobacter sp. Its description in RNAcentral is "bacterial SSU rRNA". It matches the Rfam family "Bacterial small subunit ribosomal RNA", at positions 20 to 523 of the family's 1533-position model. Lineage: Bacteria; Pseudomonadati; Pseudomonadota; Gammaproteobacteria; Lysobacterales; Lysobacteraceae. The record is from RNAcentral.